Molecule: non-coding RNA, 81 nt
Organism: Atractiella rhizophila
Lineage: Eukaryota; Fungi; Basidiomycota; Atractiellomycetes; Atractiellales; Hoehnelomycetaceae
Source: the annotation of a GenBank genome assembly
GUUGGUAUGAUGUAAUGGCUGCAUGUCAGAUUGUGGGGUCACGGUUCUCUGCCUGUCCGUGUUCGAUUCACGGUACCAACA